This 253-nucleotide ribosomal RNA is filed under the name uncultured bacterium. RNAcentral's name for it is "partial 16S ribosomal RNA". It matches the Rfam family "Bacterial small subunit ribosomal RNA", at positions 524 to 776 of the family's 1533-position model. The record is from RNAcentral.
UACGUAGGCAGCGAGCGUUGUUCGGAAUUACUGGGCGUAAAGAGUGUGUAGGCGGCGCUCUAAGUUCGGUGUGAAAUCUCUCGGCUUAACUGGGAGGGUGCGCCGGAAACUGGAGUGCUCGAACGUGGGAGAGGAAAGCGGAAUUCCUGGUGUAGCGGUGAAAUGCGUAGAUAUCAGGAGGAACACCUGCGGUGUAGUCGGCUUUCUGGACCAUUGUUGACGCUGAGACACGAAAGCGUGGGUAGCAAACAGG